ACAUAGGGUAGAUCUGGCUGGCGAGGUGGGUGUUCCCUUCCUCCCUCAACGAUCCAUGUGUGUCCCUCCCAAAGCUGUGUGCUUGGUCGAAGAGGAUGACCACUCCCGAUAGAGAAGGACUGUUCUUCGGUCAAGGGUAUAGAAGUAGCUGCGCUCCCCUGCUAGAACCUCCAAACAAGCUCUCAAGAAUACAUAGGGGAUCCACAUCUUGUACAGCAAUUAACCACUAGGAAGAAUGUAUGCAAUGUGUUAAUUAUU
RNAcentral lists this small nuclear RNA (258 nucleotides) under Octodon degus (degu). RNAcentral describes it as "7SK RNA (ENSODEG00000022971.1)". It matches the Rfam family "7SK RNA", at positions 54 to 331 of the family's 331-position model. From Rfam's summary of the family: 7SK was discovered as an abundant small nuclear RNA in the mid-70s but a possible function has only recently been suggested. Two independent studies have found that 7SK RNA binds the CDK9/cyclin T complex (known as elongation factor P-TEFb). Lineage: Eukaryota; Metazoa; Chordata; Mammalia; Rodentia; Octodontidae. The record is from RNAcentral.